Molecule: long non-coding RNA, 2103 nt
Filed under: Equus asinus (donkey)
Lineage: Eukaryota; Metazoa; Chordata; Mammalia; Perissodactyla; Equidae
Description: lncRNA (ENSEASG00005031160.1)
Source: RNAcentral
AGUAGUUGUGAAUCAGAGGUGUCAAGGUCCACUCCCAAGAUUCCAAAUAGCAGCUCUUAGUCUUGCAAGAAAAUUUAGCCAGGAGAAGGAUAAGUGAGAGGCCUACUGGAAGACAGAGGAAGUCGUUAUUCCUAGCAGAAGGUGAAAUUAGUGCUUGGGAUUCCCUCACUGUAAUGACUGACUGUUUUGUCGGCCAGGAUUGGAUUAACCUAAGGGUAUUCAGAGAUCUAUGUAUCUCACUGGGUCAUCUGCAUUUUACUGAGGAAUAGGAAGAUUAACUGCAGGCACCAGACUGGUCGUCCCACUUAACGUAACCCUGGAAAGUUCCUCUCGCAUUCCAGAAACUACUCAGUCUCCUGCCUCUGUGAAGUUUGCCUAUCUGUCUGGCAAAAGACAGUUCAGGUCGUGUUUUUCACAAGCAAUAGAAAAAGCCAGUUUCAACAAAGCUAGGAGUUUGUCCUAAGAAUCUGGAGUUACUUAAGAGAUAUUUCAACAACCUGUGUCUUCAGUAAGGCUCCCCGGAAACAGACGCCUAAACAGAGAGCUACAUGCCGGGUGCUGUGGUUUUUUGUUUUGUUUUGGUGGGGGGUGCUCUAAGAAACAACACCUGUAGGGGGAGUAAGGGAAACAGACUUGGGCAGAGGAAGAAGUUGAACUUUGAUGCCGUUGUAUUCAGCUAAGCCUACAGGGUGCUGGAUAUCAGUGUAAAAUUGUCUCCAGUAAAAGGAGCUGGGGGCCUUUGUAUCCCUACGAGCAGUCAUCUGAUGCUGAUUGCCCCAGGGAGGGGUGUAACCUUGUGUAAGGCAGCUCCCUUGCUGAGGGCCGUCCAGAGGGGCACUCAGCUGUGAAUCACCCACGGCUAACGCUGCAGCUGCAGAAUCAGGGUAUCCACCAGAACCUGCUGCGCAGCUGUGAGUCAUAUUUAAAGCUCAAAAUCUAGGCGAAAUUUUGAAUUGUCAUGAUUUUCAGAGAGUAGUAAAGGAGCAAAAAAUAAAGAGAAUGUCAUCUAGGAGUUAAGAUUCAGAAAGGGGAGGAGAAAGGGACAUAUCGUAAUUAGCAACUUUCUGUAGUGCAGAGGGGCUGAACGAGGCUGGAUGACCCUCAGCCAUCUCUGUGGUUGGUGGAGAAAUCUGUACAUUUCUCCUUGACUAUAGAAGUUAGGGAAGUAGAACAAAUGGACUGCUACACCUGGAAACCUAAGCCAGCAGCCUGGAAUUACAGACAUUGCACACAAAAGUGAGGGAAGUUUUCCUGUAGGAUACACUCACAAAUAUGCCUACCUUGAUUUAAUCCUACAGGGGUCUAAAAGUCUUAUUCGUAAAAUUUGUCAAGCCCUUGGAAGAAGAGAGUUGGUGUCUGCUUUUCCAUCAACUUGUAAAUUACUGGAGAGGAGGACCUCAAGACAUUCUCCCUUGUUUUCUUCACAAUCAGGGAUGAUAUUGAAGAUAGUUAACACCCAGUACAGCACAGGCACCAACCAACUCAAAUGGACACUGUUCUUAGGCAAUUCGUAUGGCUAUACUAGUGGAUACAGCUGCAUAUUUGUUCUGCACACAGAAGGCAUCCAAUAAAUGAUCGUUGGAUUGAAUUUCAUUGGUUUGGUCAUCAUGGCCUUGCCACCUUUGUUCCAGAUAAAAGGAUCUGUAUGAGAGAAGCAGCUCUGGCACAUGCACACUUGCGGAUGCCGUUCAUCUGCUUUUCUCCUGGGACUACCAGGAAAUAAAUUAGCUAUCAGAUCAGAGCAAACCAAAAUUUAAAAGAUCAUAAAUGAAAAAUGAAUGUGUUGUUAUUUGACUUUUUUGUAUCGUUAUUCAUAGAUUUUCUUAAAGUAAUAAUCAGAGAACAUCAUCAACUAAAAUAUGUUUGUAACCCAAGUCAGUGACGAACUUGGUAAACACGGCAGAAUUACGCCCUCUCUUAAUUAGCCUUUGGGGAGACACCAAGUUUUGAACCGCUGCUUGUAGCUCUGGGAAUCUUCUAAGAAGCAGGAGUAGAUUAACCUCUAGAAGAGAAAUAUGCCAAAAACUGAUUUUCACAUAUGACUUGGUGAGUCUUAAACAGAAACAGGCUAACAUGCCAAAUAUGACCAGCUGAGAAGUAUCA